Molecule: ribosomal RNA, 104 nt
Filed under: uncultured Celerinatantimonas sp.
Lineage: Bacteria; Pseudomonadati; Pseudomonadota; Gammaproteobacteria; Celerinatantimonadaceae
Source: RNAcentral
GAUAGCAUUGUGGAACCACUUGAAACCAUGCCGAACUCAGAUGUGAAACGCAAUAGCGCCGAUGAUAGUGUGGGGUUUCCCCAUGUGAAAGUAGGUCACUGCCA